RNAcentral lists this transfer RNA (74 nucleotides) under bacterium. Its description in RNAcentral is "tRNA-Pro". It matches the Rfam family "tRNA". Rfam says of the family: Transfer RNA (tRNA) molecules are approximately 80 nucleotides in length. Their secondary structure includes four short double-helical elements and three loops (D, anti-codon, and T loops). RNAcentral also lists the same sequence under 2 other names. The record is from RNAcentral.
CGGGGUGUGGCGCAGCCUGGUAGCGCACCUGCUUUGGGAGCAGGGGGUCGGAGGUUCAAAUCCUCUCACCCCGA